This 492-nucleotide ribosomal RNA is filed under the name uncultured bacterium. RNAcentral's name for it is "partial 16S ribosomal RNA". It matches the Rfam family "Bacterial small subunit ribosomal RNA", at positions 29 to 507 of the family's 1533-position model. The record is from RNAcentral.
AGUGAACGCUGGCGGUAGGCCUAACACAUGCAAGUCGAACGGCAGCACAGUAAGAGCUUGCUCUUACGGGUGGCGAGUGGCGGACGGGUGAGGAAUACAUCGGAAUCUACUUUUUCGUGGGGGAUAACGUAGGGAAACUUACGCUAAUACCGCAUACGACCUACGGGUGAAAGCAGGGGAUCUUCGGACCUUGCGCGAUUGAAUGAGCCGAUGUCGGAUUAGCUAGUUGGCGGGGUAAAGGCCCACCAAGGCGACGAUCCGUAGCUGGUCUGAGAGGAUGAUAAGGCACCCGGGAACAGAGACACGGACGAGACGCCUACGGGAGGCAGCAGUGGGGAGUAUUGGACAAUGGGCGCAGGCCUGAACCAGCCAUAACGCGGGAGUGAAGAAGGCCCUCGGAUUGUAAAGCCCUUUUGUUGGGAAAGAAAAGCAGCAGGUUAAUACCCCGCGGUUCUGACGGUACCCAAAGAAUAAGCAACGGCUAACUUCGUG